This 950-nucleotide small RNA is filed under the name Vigna angularis var. angularis. RNAcentral's name for it is "Non-protein coding transcript". Lineage: Eukaryota; Viridiplantae; Streptophyta; Magnoliopsida; Fabales; Fabaceae. The record is from RNAcentral.
GAAGUGAUUGAAUGCACCAUAAGCCAACUACAGUCAUUCUCUUUGCAAUCUCACCUUCUUCUGCAUUCAUCACUUCAUAUGGUCUCACAUCAUUAUCAACAUCAUUAUCCACAUCAAGUGUUCUGUAUGCAAAAUGUGGGAAGUAUAUCUCACUCGUAUGACUAGCUUCAGGAUUAAUGUUCUUCCUUCCUCCUACCAUUUCCAGUAGCAUCAUUCCAUAACUAUACACAUCAGACUUUUGUGAAACUCCUCCAAAAUGUCUAUUGAUCAUUUCAGGAGCUAAAUACCCCAUUGUUCCUCUUGCAUCAGACACAGAAAUAAUGCUUUCAUUCCUGGGACAGAGCUUUGCUAGUCCAAAAUCUGAUAUUUUAGGACAAAAAUUCUCAUCCAAAAGAAUAUUAUGUGGUUUUAUGUCAAAAUGUAAAAUUUUAGUGUUGCAGCCUCUGUGCAAGUACUCCAACCCUCGAGCUAUUCCUAUGGCAAUUUGAUAUAAAUUCUCCCAGGUCAAAGAUGCAAUAUUUUCUGGCCCUCUGUUGUAGAUGAACUUAUCCAAAGAACCAUUAGCCAUAAACUCAUAGAUGAGAGCCUUUUUGGAGCCUUCCAAACAAAAUCCAACAAGUGAGACAAUAUUAACAUGUGAUGUUCUACUGAUGCUGGCAACCUCAUUGAUGAACUCUUCGUCAUUUCUUUUGGAUGCUUUCAGUAACUUUACAGCCACAGGACUACCCGUGAGUAGUGUUCCUUUGUAUACUGUACCAAAACCACCUUGACCAAGUUUAACUUUGAAUGAAUUAGUCAUUUUCUGCACUUCUGAAAAUUUGUAUCUUUUCUGCGCUAUGGCUCCAUGAUUUCUUAAGAAAGCUUCGACAUUUGAAUCACUGUUUGUGGUAAAACAAAAUUUGACUAGUCGGGUGGAAGACUUACGUCUAAGACAAAAAAGUAUGAAGAAA